This is a long non-coding RNA of Camelina sativa (false flax), 847 nucleotides long. RefSeq lists it as uncharacterized. The record is from RefSeq and is a predicted model, not a curated record. Lineage: Eukaryota; Viridiplantae; Streptophyta; Magnoliopsida; Brassicales; Brassicaceae.
ACCCAAAUUAGAGAACUCCGAAACCCAAAAAAUCACCAAAACUAUAUGAAUGUGCAAUUGAAGAACUCAAACCUCAGAUUUGUCUCAAAUACAAAGAACAUCAUAUCUCAAAACCCAGCAAACGUGCUCAGAAAAGAAACAUGAACCAAUGUCAAAAUUCACCAAAAGACAAAUGUCUAAAUCCAAGUUGCUCAAUCGAGUGUUGUUCUUCAAGAAGAGAUGCAAAUUGGUUAUGUAGAUCAUUUUCAUACAAUUCAUCUGUUUUUAACCCACUCGUGUGACUCUUAAUAUGGUUUUGAUGAUUAAAUCUGCGUGAUUUAUCGCCUAACUGACUGAUUUGUUUGUCUUUUCUGCUUGGUUUAGUUGUGAAUAACUUUAGCAAUAUGCAGAUUUCUACAAGACUCUUACUUUUCUUGCUCUAUAUUAUCAGCAGCUCCUCCUAAGUUUUCUAAGGUGUGAAAUCAACAUCUCUUCUCAUUAUUGCAGUCCCUCCCAGGUUAUAUUCGAACCCUCAAGGAGAAUCUAAGGGCUCUAGAGAGGGAAAUGGAAGAUCUCAAAGCUAUUCAAAAUGUGGUGAAGAACAGGGUAGCCAGAGAGGAGGUGACACGACAUCGACAAAGGCUUGAAACUGUCCAGCUACGAUAGCUUGGUGGAUGAAAAUAUCAAGUCGUGUUUCCUGUAUUGUGCUCUGUUUCCGGAAGAUUUUAACAUACAAAUAGAAGAGGUGAUCAACUAUUGGAUAUGCGAGGGGUUCAUUAGGAAAGACCAAGUUAUAAAAAGUGCGGUGAAUAAGGGUUAUGCGAUACUUGGCACCCUUAUCCGUGCAAAUUUAUUAACAGAGAUUGGU